GACGGACGCUGGCGGCGUGCUUAACACAUGCAAGUCGAACGGAAAGGCCCUGCUUUUGUGGGGUGCUCGAGUGGCGAACGGGUGAGUAACACGUGAGUAACCUGCCCUUGACUUUGGGAUAACUUCAGGAAACUGGGGCUCAUACCGGAUAGGAGCUCCUGCUGCAUGGUGGGGGUUGGAAAGUUUCGGCGGUUGGGGAUGGACUCGCGGCUUAUCAGCUUGUUGGUGGGGUAGUGGCUUACCAAGGCUUUGACGGGUAGCCGGCCUGAGAGGGUGACCGGCCACAUGGGGACUGAGAUACGGCCCAGACUCCUACGGGAGGCAGCAGUGGGGAAUAUUGCACAAUGGGCGGAAGCCUGAUGCAGCAACGCCGCGUGCGGGAUGACGGCCUUCGGGUUGUAAACCGCUUUCGCCUGUGACGAAGCGUGAGUGACGGUAAUGGGUAAAGAAGCACCGGCUAACUACGUG
This 468-nucleotide ribosomal RNA is filed under the name uncultured bacterium. Its description in RNAcentral is "partial 16S ribosomal RNA". It matches the Rfam family "Bacterial small subunit ribosomal RNA", at positions 28 to 507 of the family's 1533-position model. The record is from RNAcentral.